CCUACGGGAGGCAGCAGUGAGGAAUAUUGGUCAAUGGACGAGAGUCUGAACCAGCCAAGUAGCGUGAAGGAUGACUGCCCUAUGGGUUGUAAACUUCUUUUAUAUGGGAAUAAAAUAUUGUAUGUAUAGGCUUUUGUAUGUACCAUAUGAAUAAGGAUCGGCUAACUCCGUGCCAGCAGCCGCGGUAAUACGGAGGAUCCGAGCGUUAUCCGGAUUUAUUGGGUUUAAAGGGAGCGUAGGUGGAUUGUUAAGUCAGUUGUGAAAGUUUGCGGCUCAACCGUAAAAUUGCAGUUGAAACUGGCAGUCUUGAGUACAGUAGAGGUGGGCGGAAUUCGUGGUGUAGCGGUGAAAUGCUGAGAUAUCACGAAGAACUCCGAUUGCGAAGGCAGCUCACUGGACUGCAACUGACACUGAGGCUCGAAAGUGUGGGUAUCAAACAGGAUUAGAUACCCGAGUAGUC
Molecule: ribosomal RNA, 460 nt
Filed under: uncultured bacterium
Lineage: Bacteria
Description: partial 16S ribosomal RNA
Rfam family: Bacterial small subunit ribosomal RNA
Source: RNAcentral